CAAUAGCGUAUAUUAAAGUUGUUGCAGUUAAAAAGCUCGUAGUUGGAUUUCUGGUAGGAGUGACCGUUCCGAACUUGAUUGUUCGUGUAUUGUGUUUUCUCCAGCCAUCCUUGUGGAGAACUUUUCUUGCAUUAAUUUGUAGGGAUUGGGACCCGCAUCGUUUACUGUGAAAAAAUUAGAGUGUUUAAAGCAGGCAAUCGCUUGAAUACAUUAGCAUGGAAUAAUAAGAUAGGACUUUGGUACUAUUUUGUUGGUUUGCAUACCAAGUUAAUGAUCAACAGGAACAGUUUGAGGAUAUUCGUAUGAACAUGUCAGAGGUGAAAUUCUUGGAUUUUGAUCAGACGAACUACUGCGAAAGCAUUUAUCAAGGAUGUUUUCAUUAA
This 383-nucleotide ribosomal RNA is filed under the name uncultured eukaryote. RNAcentral's name for it is "partial 18S ribosomal RNA". It matches the Rfam family "Eukaryotic small subunit ribosomal RNA", at positions 592 to 976 of the family's 1831-position model. The record is from RNAcentral.